RNAcentral lists this ribosomal RNA (435 nucleotides) under Triticum aestivum (bread wheat). Its description in RNAcentral is "partial small subunit ribosomal RNA". The record is from RNAcentral. Lineage: Eukaryota; Viridiplantae; Streptophyta; Magnoliopsida; Poales; Poaceae.
AUGACCUUAAGCCAACCUUUUUGUGUGUGGCAGUUGUUACAUUUGCAAAUGUCAAAUUCUGUCAUGAAUACCACUCAGAAAGUUGAUCCAACGGAACCAGCUGCUAAGAUUGCUCAGCAAGCCUCACAGUUCAAACGAUGGGGACGCAAGCAUCCAUUUGUUCGAUAUGGCCUUCCGCUCAUUUCUUUGACAGUGUUUGGUGCGGUUGGUCUAGCUCAUCUCAUACAGGGAAGCAAAGAAGUAACAAAGGAAAAGGAGGACAUGGAAUGGGAGGUCGUAGAGAAAACAAAAGCUCUGAGCCGAACAGGACCAGUGGAAGGGGCUUAUAAGCCUAAGAAGCUCUCGCUAGAGGACGAACUGAAGGCUUUGCAGCAAAAGGUGGACAUAAACAGCUACGACUACAAGAGAAUUCCCAAACAAAAUGAAAACAAGUGA